UACGUAGGGUGCAAGCGUUAAUCGGAAUUACUGGGCGUAAAGGGCGCGUAGGCGGCCUGUGCAAGUCAGUUGUGAAAUCUCCGGGCUUAACUCGGAACGGUCAACUGAUACUGCUCGGCUAGAGUGCAGAAGGGGCAACUGGAAUUCUUGGUGUAGCGGUGAAAUGCGUAGAUAUCAAGAGGAACACCUGCGGCGAAGGCGGGUUGCUGGGCUGACACUGACGCUGAAGCGCGAAAGCUAGGGGAGCGAACGGG
This 254-nucleotide ribosomal RNA is filed under the name uncultured prokaryote. RNAcentral's name for it is "partial 16S ribosomal RNA". It matches the Rfam family "Bacterial small subunit ribosomal RNA", at positions 524 to 776 of the family's 1533-position model. The record is from RNAcentral.